Molecule: ribosomal RNA, 444 nt
Filed under: uncultured prokaryote
Description: bacterial SSU rRNA
Rfam family: Bacterial small subunit ribosomal RNA
Source: RNAcentral
CCUACGGGGGGCAUCAGUGGGGAAUAUUGCACAAUGGGCGCAAGCCUGAUGCAGCGACGCCGCGUGGAGGAUGAAGGCUUUCGAGUUGUAAACUCCUGUUAAGUGGGAAGAAAGACUGUUGACUAAUAAUCAGCAGGGAUGACGGUACCACUAGAGAAAGCACCGGCAAACUUCGUGCCAGCAGCCGCGGUAAUACGAAGGGUGCAAGCGUUAUUCGGAGUUACUGGGCGUAAAGAGUAUGUAGGCGGUUUGUUAAGUUAGUUGUUAAAGACCAUGGCUCAACCGUGGAAAGGCGGCUGAUACUGAUGAGCUAGAGCGCAGAAGAGAGGAGUGGAAUUCCCGGAGUAGCGGUAAAAUGCGUAGAUCUCGGGAGGAACACCGGUUGCGAAGGCGGCUUCUUGGUCUGUGGCUGACGCUAAAGUGCGAAAGCGUGGGGAGCAAACA